This 404-nucleotide ribosomal RNA is filed under the name uncultured bacterium. RNAcentral's name for it is "bacterial SSU rRNA". It matches the Rfam family "Bacterial small subunit ribosomal RNA", at positions 355 to 776 of the family's 1533-position model. The record is from RNAcentral.
UGGGGAAUAUUGCACAAUGGACGAAAGUCUGAUGCAGCCAUGCCGCGUGAGUGAUGAAGGCCUUCGGGUUGUAAAGCUCUUUUGGCGGGGACGAUAAUGACGGUACCCGCAGAAUAAGCCCCGGCUAACUUCGUGCCAGCAGCCGCGGUAAUACGAAGGGGGCAAGCAUUGUUCGGAAUUACUGGGCGUAAAGGGUGCGUAGGCGGAUCGAUCAGUCAGAUGUGAAAGCCCAAGGCUUAACCUUGGAAUUGCAUUUGAUACUGUCAGUCUAGAAUUGUGGAGAGGAGUAUGGAAUUCUCAGUGUAGAGGUGAAAUUCGUAGAUAUUGAGAGGAACACCAGUGGCGUAGGCGAUACUCUGGCCAACAAUUGACGCUGAGGCACGAAAGUGUGGGGAGCAAACAGG